Molecule: long non-coding RNA, 221 nt
Organism: Etheostoma cragini (Arkansas darter)
Lineage: Eukaryota; Metazoa; Chordata; Actinopteri; Perciformes; Percidae
Exons: 2
Source: RefSeq, a predicted model, not a curated record
ACUGUAAUCCUCGUCUGUCUCAGGAAUUUUAGUGGGAAACCAAAGAUGAUUUUAGCUUUUCGUGAACCGUAGAAUAAAAAAAGGGCUGAUUUUAACUUUUAAAGUAAUCAGAACAAGCCGUGACGUCGUUACAGAGGCUCAGGAGGAAAUACUGAUAUUAUUUAUUGGCCAGUUAAUUAUUUAGAAAUCUAUUUUUGAUACUCUGGAUCUGAUCCGGUUAA